RNAcentral lists this ribosomal RNA (254 nucleotides) under uncultured bacterium. Its description in RNAcentral is "partial 16S ribosomal RNA". It matches the Rfam family "Bacterial small subunit ribosomal RNA", at positions 524 to 776 of the family's 1533-position model. The record is from RNAcentral.
GACAGAGGUGGCUAGCGUUGUUCGGAUUCAUUGGGUGUAAAGGGUGCGUAGGCGGUUCAGAAAGUCAGAUGUGAAAUCCCACAGCUCAACUGUGGAACUGCAUCUGAAACUUCUGGACUUGAGUGCGAGAGAGGUAAAGGGAAUUCCCGGUGUAAGGGUGAAAUCUGCAGAGAUCGGGAGGAACACCUGUAGCGAAGGCGCUUUACUGGCUCGCAACUGACGCUGAGUGCACGAAGGCGUGGGGAGCAAACGGG